RNAcentral lists this ribosomal RNA (238 nucleotides) under uncultured bacterium. RNAcentral describes it as "partial 16S ribosomal RNA". It matches the Rfam family "Bacterial small subunit ribosomal RNA", at positions 796 to 1041 of the family's 1533-position model. The record is from RNAcentral.
CACGCCGUAAACGAUGGAUACUAGCUGUUGGGCGCAAGUUCAGUGGCUAAGCGAAAGUGAUAAGUAUCCCACCUGGGGAGUACGUUCGCAAGAAUGAAACUCAAAGGAAUUGACGGGGGCCCGCACAAGCGGUGGAGCAUGUGGUUUAAUUCGAUGAUACGCGAGGAACCUUACCAAGGCUUAAAUGUAGAUUGACAGAUUUGGAAACAGAUUUUUCUUCGGACAAUUUACAAGGUGC